CGACGGAAAGGUGUCCAAGCUGG
RNAcentral lists this microRNA (23 nucleotides) under Penaeus japonicus. RNAcentral's name for it is "mja-miR-6489-3p". The record is from miRBase by way of RNAcentral. Lineage: Eukaryota; Metazoa; Arthropoda; Malacostraca; Decapoda; Penaeidae.